RNAcentral lists this ribosomal RNA (478 nucleotides) under uncultured bacterium. RNAcentral's name for it is "partial 16S ribosomal RNA". It matches the Rfam family "Bacterial small subunit ribosomal RNA", at positions 29 to 523 of the family's 1533-position model. The record is from RNAcentral.
AAUGAACGUUGGCGGCGUGGAUUAGGCAUGCAAGUCGUGCGCGAACUGUAGCAAUACAGGGAGAGCGGCGAAAGGGAGAGUAAUACAUAGGUACCUACCCCCGGGCCUGGGAUAGCGACGGGAAACUGCCGGUAAUACCAGAUAACGUCCCCGGACCAAAGAUGUGACUUCACCUGGGGAGGGGCCUAUGGCCUAUCAGCUUGUUGGCAGGGUAACGGCCUACCAAGGCAAAGACGGGUAUGGGGCGUGAGAGCGUGCCCCCACUCACUGGGAAUGAGACACUGCCCAGACACCUACGGGUGGCUGCAGUCGAGAAUCUUCGGCAAUGGGCGCAAGCCUGACCGAGCGACGCCGCGUGCGGGAUGAAGGCCUUCGGGUUGUAAACCGCUGUCGUAGGGGAGGAAGGGCCUGUGAAGAACAGGACUUGACCGAUCCUAGGAGGAAGGGCCGGCUAAUCUCGUGCCAGCAGCCGCCGUAA